AAUGCUUUGCCUGUGGGGCAGUAUGGAAAUGAAAUGAAAGAAUGGUAUUGGUCACGAUAUACAUCUGCCACCUCUAAUGCCUCAGGAUACUCAUUCCAGGGUAAAGAAAUUUCAGAGAAAUUCCUGUUGGUUGAGGUUGGGCUUCUUGGGCCUUCCUUACUCAGCAGGUCACUAAAGAGUGAAGACAAGUGCCCUGCUUUUUAUUCUGCCAUCUGCAGUUUGGCUGCCUGUCGUCACAGUGGUGAUUAAGUUCAAAAACUCCCCCAAAACUAUUUAUUGGAAGUUCUUGUGGGUUUCCUCAAAGAUGAAGAAGUUAGAUGUAGAUCAAAGAUUAUCUCUGGACAUUGAAUACUUGUCCUGGAGGUCCAAGAGUUGGUAGUGAUGUGAAGCCAGUGGUAAGGUACCAGACCCACGAAGUAACUUCUAAGCCAGAAGAGCCUAAAGGAAGGAAUAGUUCAAAGAGCUCUAUGUUCUCU
Long non-coding RNA from Varanus komodoensis (Komodo dragon), 476 nucleotides. RefSeq lists it as uncharacterized. The transcript has 3 exons. The record is from RefSeq and is a predicted model, not a curated record. Lineage: Eukaryota; Metazoa; Chordata; Lepidosauria; Squamata; Varanidae.